GACGAACGCUGGCGGCGUGCUUAACACAUGCAAGUCGAACGGACGGACUCGAUAGCUUGCUAUUGGGAAAGUUAGUGGCAAACGGGUGAGUAACGCGUAGGCAACCUGCCCUUCAGAUGGGGACAACACUUCGAAAGAGGUGCUAAUACCGAAUGACGUAUCCAUUCCGCAUGGAGAGGAUACCAAAGGCCGGGCAACCGGUCACUGAAGGAUGGGCCUGCGUCUGAUUAGCUAGUUGGUGGGGUAACGGCUCACCAAGGCGACGAUCAGUAGCCGGUCUGAGAGGAUGAACGGCCACAUUGGGACUGAGACACGGCCCAA
RNAcentral lists this ribosomal RNA (321 nucleotides) under uncultured bacterium. Its description in RNAcentral is "bacterial SSU rRNA". It matches the Rfam family "Bacterial small subunit ribosomal RNA", at positions 28 to 334 of the family's 1533-position model. The record is from RNAcentral.